AGCGCCGAGAUUCCGCGUGUGACCCACGGGACUGUGUCCCUCAGCGCCGAGAUUCCGCGUGUGACCCACGGGACUGUGUCCCUCAGCGCCGAGAUUCCGCGUGUGACCCACGGGACUGUGUCCCUCAGCGCCGAGAUUCCGCGUGUGACCCACGGGACUGUGUCCCUCAGCGCCGAGAUUCCGCGUGUGACCCACGGGACUGUGUCCCUCAGCGCCGAGAUUCCGCGUGUGACCCACGGGACUGUGUCCCUCAGCACCGAGAUUCCGCGUGUGACCCACGGGACUGCAGUCCCUCAGCACCGAGAUUCUGCGUGUGACCCACGGGACUGUGUCCCUCAGCACCGAGAUGCGGGUGUGACCCACAGGACUGUGUCCCUCAGCACCGAGAUUCCGCAUGUGACCCACGGGACUGCGGUCCCUCAGCACCGAGAUGCGGGUGUGACCCACAGGACUGUGUGCAGGGCAGGGUGAGCGGCUCCGAAGGACGUGCUGAUUUGUUUUGUGCGACCACCAGAGCAGGAGCCAGAGAAAAGCCCUGUGCCAUUCCUGGCUGGUGUCGUUCCUCUGGGGAAGAAGGCAGCUCUGCUGAACCAGCUACAUCCCUUGGCCCGGCAGGAGGCAGGACGAGGGAGUGAGCUGCGCAAAGAACACAUCCACCUGGGCUUGCUCCUCCGAACACCUUCAACACUCUCAGCCUCCUCUCCCACUCCGUUCUCCUCUUCUGAGCUUUCCCGAAUCACCAGUGCGUGGAGGCGGCCUCUCGUUCCUGUCCACCUCAUCACAGGCCGACACCCUAAUCACAGACAACGGAAACGGCUCCUGGACUCAGAUUCCAGAGGCUCCAAGGCCCUCGGUCCUGGCCAGGCCCCUCCAUGGUCACAGCAGUGAUGGCCUCGUCCUUCCCACAUGAGGGCCCCAAGGGUAACCCUGGAUAACUCAGCAUGAUCUCCCACCCAAGGGCCCUGCCUGGAGCCUGAGUCCACCUCAGCUGCGUGUCCUUUCCCCCAAGCCCAACACACUCAGUCUCUGGGGAUCAGGGUCUGUGCGUCUCUGGGUGACUGCUCCACCUGCCCCAGCAGGGCGCCGCGGGUGCAUGGGUCCUGUGCCGGCAUCUGCCUGGCUGUCACCACGGGCAUCUGCCUGAAGGCAGCAGUUCUCCGCCUUCCCGCCUGCUGUGAACCUGGUUUCUGCUCCCUGGUUUCUGCCUGGCUCCCACGGAAAAGAUCGCCACAUUCUCUGCUUCUCUCCACUGUCUGCCCUCCUCCGACAGGCACGGCCAUUUCUGUCGAGUGCCUCUGAACCUCAGAGUUCAUGCAACGCUUGAGGUGAACAGAAAGCCCAGGUCUCCAUUCAGGGCGGGUUCGCAGACUCUCAUAGCCCCCACACUUGUCGCUCUCAGCAGCUAUCUCAGAACCUGUUAUUAACCAAGUGAUGCGAUUGGUCUCUCUUCUCAUUAGACCAUGACCUCUAUGGGGACGCGAACCUGUUUAUUCCCACACUGAGGCUUCAACCCAGGGCCUACACUUAGGAAAUACCUGACAUUUGUUGAGUUUGUGAACAGAUGAGCACAUCCUCCAUUAAAUGAAGCUGAGUGAAGUGAAGGCUGAGAGGAGAUGGUGACAGCAGGAGAUGCAGCUGUGGGGGCAGAUUCUCCCUCUCAGUGACGUUGUCACCAAUGCAGCAGCUGAUCGGCAGCUGACUGUGUUGGGGUCAAUUGGGCAGCUUCAGUCUGUCCCUCUGCAGAGAUGGCUCAUGGUGCAGAUAUGCAGCGAGCAGGCCUGGGUCUCCUGCAGGCCAGUCCUCACCCACCUGUGUCUCAGUUUCCUCUUUUAUAAAACAGUGACAAGGCAGUCCUCCCCUCAUAGCAACGCGGGGGUGGCUGAGGGAGCUGUGAGCCCUUGUCCCUGGACUUAGGACAGGGUCUGGUGCCCUUUGAGACUGGGCCACCCUUUAAGCUCCAGCACUCCAGUGACUCCAGCAGCAUCAGCUGUGCUCCGCUCCCACGAAGAUGCUCUAGAAUGUAGACACACCAUUGCUUUUGUGGAACCAAGAGAGGAAAAACACUUCCAAUUAAACUAUGACAAGCCAUGUAAC
RNAcentral lists this long non-coding RNA (2094 nucleotides) under Macaca mulatta (Rhesus monkey). RNAcentral describes it as "lncRNA (ENSMMUG00000052285.1)". The record is from RNAcentral. Lineage: Eukaryota; Metazoa; Chordata; Mammalia; Primates; Cercopithecidae.